GAUGAAGAACGUAGUGAAAUGCGAUACGUAGUGUGAAUUGCAGAAUUCAGUGAGUCAUCGAAUCUUUGAACGCACAUUGCACCUCUCGGUAUUCCGGGAGGUAUGCCUGUUCGAGCGUCAUUUGUACCCUCAAGCUCUGCUUGGUGUUGGGUGUUUGUUCCGCCUCUGUGUGUGAACUCGCCUCAAAACAAUUGGCAGCCGGCGUACUUGUUUCGGAGCGCAGCACAUUUUGCGAUCCAGAUCAACGUACAGCGGCAUCCAAGAAGCCUUAUUUAACGCUCUUGACCUCGGAUCAGGUAGGGAUACCCGCUGAACUUAAGCAUAUCAAAAGCGGAGGA
RNAcentral lists this unclassified non-coding RNA (338 nucleotides) under soil metagenome. RNAcentral's name for it is "partial contains 5.8S ribosomal RNA, internal transcribed spacer 2, and large subunit ribosomal RNA". The stretch from base 1 to 120 matches the Rfam family "5.8S ribosomal RNA", at positions 35 to 154 of the family's 154-position model. The record is from RNAcentral.